GGGCCCGCACAAGCGGUGGAGCAUGUGGUUUAAUUCGAUGAUACGCGAGGAACCUUACCAGGGCUUAAAUGUAAGUUGCAUUAGAUAGAGAUAUCUAUUUCUUCGGACCACUUACAAGGUGCUGCAUGGUUGUCGUCAGCUCGUGCCGUGAGGUGUCAGGUUAAGUCCUAUAACGAGCGCAACCCCUGUUGUUAGUUGCCAGCGAUUCAAGUCGGGAACUCUAACAAGACUGCCGGUGCAAACCGUGAGGAAGGUGGGGAUGACGUCAAAUCAUCACGGCCCUUACGUCCUGGCUACACACGUGCUACAAUGGUAGGGACAGAGGGCAGCCACUGGGUGACCAGGAGCGAA
This 351-nucleotide ribosomal RNA is filed under the name uncultured bacterium. RNAcentral describes it as "bacterial SSU rRNA". It matches the Rfam family "Bacterial small subunit ribosomal RNA", at positions 917 to 1271 of the family's 1533-position model. The record is from RNAcentral.